RNAcentral lists this ribosomal RNA (306 nucleotides) under uncultured bacterium. RNAcentral describes it as "partial 16S ribosomal RNA". It matches the Rfam family "Bacterial small subunit ribosomal RNA", at positions 505 to 807 of the family's 1533-position model. The record is from RNAcentral.
GACAGCAGUAGCCACGGUAAUACGAAGGGUGCAAGCGUUAAUCGGAAUUACUGGGCGUAAAGCGUGCGUAGGCGGUGAGUUAAGUCUGCUGUGAAAUCCCCGGGCUCAACCUGGGAAUGGCAGUGGAUACUGGCUCGCUAGAGUGUGUCAGAGGAUGGUGGAAUUCCCGGUGUAGCGGUGAAAUGCGUAGAGAUCGGGAGGAACAUCAGUGGCGAAGGCGGCCAUCUGGGACAACACUGACGCUGAGGCACGAAAGCGUGGGGAGCAAACAGGAUUAGAUACCCCGGUAGUCCCUGUCUCUUAUAC